AGACAGCAGUCGCCGCGGUAAUACGUAGGUGGCGAGCGUUGUCCGGAAUUAUUGGGCGUAAAGGGAGCGCAGGCGGACAUAUAAGUCCAUCUUAAAAGUGCGGGGCUCAACCCCGUGAGGGGAUGGAAACUGUAUGCCUUGAGUGCAGGAGAGGAAAGCGGAAUUCCCAGUGUAGCGGUGAAAUGCGUAGAUAUUGGGGGGAACACCAGUGGCGAAGGCGGCUUUCUGGACUGUAACUGACGCUGAGGCUCGAAAGCCAGGGGAGCGAACGGGAUUAGAUACCCCAGUAGUCCCUGUCUCUUAUACC
This 307-nucleotide ribosomal RNA is filed under the name uncultured bacterium. RNAcentral describes it as "partial 16S ribosomal RNA". It matches the Rfam family "Bacterial small subunit ribosomal RNA", at positions 506 to 808 of the family's 1533-position model. The record is from RNAcentral.